GACGAACGCUGGCGGCAUGCCUAACACAUGCAAGUCGAACGAAGGCUUCGGCCUUAGUGGCGCACGGGUGAGUAACGCGUGGGAAACUGCCUAUUGGUGGGGAAUAACGACGGGAAACUGUCGCUAAUACCGCAUAAGCCCUUCGGGGGAAAGAUUUAUCGCCGAUAGAUGUGCCCGCGUCCGAUUAGCUAGUUGGUGAGGUAAUGGCUCACCAAGGCGACGAUCGGUAGCUGGUCUGAGAGGAUGAUCAGCCACACUGGGACUGAGACACGGCCCAGACGCCUACGGGAGGCAGCAGUGGGGAAUAUUGGACAAUGGGCGAAAGCCUGAUCCUGCAAUGCCGCGUGAGUGAUGAAGGCCUUAGGGUUGUAAAGCUCUUUCGGGUGGGACGAUGAUGACGGUACCACCAGAAGAAGCCCCGGCUAACUUCGUGCCAGCCGCCGCCGUAA
RNAcentral lists this ribosomal RNA (449 nucleotides) under uncultured bacterium. RNAcentral's name for it is "partial 16S ribosomal RNA". It matches the Rfam family "Bacterial small subunit ribosomal RNA", at positions 28 to 523 of the family's 1533-position model. The record is from RNAcentral.